Molecule: ribosomal RNA, 517 nt
Filed under: uncultured Clostridiaceae bacterium
Lineage: Bacteria; Bacillati; Bacillota; Clostridia; Eubacteriales; Clostridiaceae
Description: bacterial SSU rRNA
Rfam family: Bacterial small subunit ribosomal RNA
Source: RNAcentral
AGAGUUUGAUCCUGGCUCAGGAUGAACGCUGGCGGCGUGCCUAACACAUGCAAGUCGAGCGGGUUAAUCUGACGGAAGCCUUCGGGUGGAAGAAAGUGAAACUAGCGGCGGACGGGUGAGUAACGCGUGGGCAACCUACCUUGUACAGGGGGACAACAACGGGAAACCGUUGCUAAUACCCCAUAAUACCCUAGAGGGGCAUCCCUUAAGGGUCAAAGAAUUUCGGUACAAGAUGGGCCCGCGUCUGAUUAGCUAGUUGGUGAGGUAAUGGCUCACCAAGGCGACGAUCAGUAGCCGACCUGAGAGGGUGAUCGGCCACACUGGAACUGAGACACGGUCCAGACUCCUACGGGAGGCAGCAGUGGGGAAUAUUGCACAAUGGGCGAAAGCCUGAUGCAGCAACGCCGCGUGAGCGAUGAAGGCCUUCGGGUCGUAAAGCUCUGUCCUAGGGGAAGAAUAUUGACGGUACCCUAGGAGGAAGCCCCGGCUAACUACGUGCCAGCCGCCGCGGUAAUAC